This 790-nucleotide ribosomal RNA is filed under the name Acinetobacter pittii. RNAcentral describes it as "bacterial LSU rRNA". It matches the Rfam family "Bacterial large subunit ribosomal RNA", at positions 699 to 1494 of the family's 2925-position model. Lineage: Bacteria; Pseudomonadati; Pseudomonadota; Gammaproteobacteria; Moraxellales; Moraxellaceae. The record is from RNAcentral.
GUUGCUGGGUAUAGACCCGAAACCAGGCGAUCUAUCCAUGAGCAGGUUGAAGGUUGGGUAACACUAACUGGAGGACCGAACCCACUGUCGUUGAAAAGCCAGGGGAUGACUUGUGGAUAGGGGUGAAAGGCUAAUCAAGCCUGGUGAUAGCUGGUUCUCCCCGAAAGCUAUUUAGGUAGCGCCUCGGACGAAUACCAUAGGGGGUAGAGCACUGUUUCGGCUAGGGGGUCAUCCCGACUUACCAAACCGAUGCAAACUCCGAAUACCUAUGAGUACUAUCCGGGAGACAGACUGCGGGUGCUAACGUCCGUAGUCAAGAGGAAAACAAUCCAGACCGCCAGCUAAGGCCCCAAAAUCAUAGUUAAGUGGGAAACGAUGUGGGAAGGCAUAGACAGCUAGGAGGUUGGCUUAGAAGCAGCCACCCUUUAAAGAAAGCGUAAUAGCUCACUAGUCGAGUCGGCCUGCGCGGAAGAUGUAACGGGGCUAAAACUAUGUGCCGAAGCUGCGGAUUUGACAUUAGUCAAGUGGUAGGGGAGCGUUCUGUAAGCCGAUGAAGGUGUAUUGAGAAGUAUGCUGGAGGUAUCAGAAGUGCGAAUGCUGACGUGAGUAACGACAAAACGGGUGAAAAACCCGUUCGCCGAAAGACCAAGGGUUCCAGUCCAACGUUAAUCGGGGCUGGGUGAGUCGACCCCUAAGGCGAGGCCGAAAGGCGUAGUCGAUGGGAAAUUGGUUAAUAUUCCAAUACUUCUGUGUAAUGCGAUGAGAGGACGGAGAAGGUUAAGUCAGCCUG